This 255-nucleotide ribosomal RNA is filed under the name uncultured bacterium. Its description in RNAcentral is "partial 16S ribosomal RNA". It matches the Rfam family "Bacterial small subunit ribosomal RNA", at positions 524 to 778 of the family's 1533-position model. The record is from RNAcentral.
UACGGAGGUGGCAAGCGUUGCUCGGAAUCACUGGGCGUAAAGGGCGCGUAGGCGGGGAGGUAAGUCGGGUGUGAAAUCCCUCGGCCCAACCGAGGAACUGCGCCCGAGACUGCUUCUCUUGAGUCCCGGAGAGGAAGAUGGAAUUCCAGGUGUAGCGGUGAAAUGCGUAGAUAUCUGGAGGAAUACCGGUGGCGAAGGCGGCAUCCUGGACCGGCAUUGACGCUGAGGAGCGAAAGCUAGGGGAGCAAACAGGGU